UGGGGAAUCUUGCACAAUGGGCGAAAGCCUGAUGCAGCGACGCCGCGUGGAGGAUGAAGGUCUUCGGAUUGUAAACUUCUGUUAAGUGGGACGAAAUAGCUUUUGGGAAUAUCAAAAGAAGAUGACGGUACCAUUAGAGAAAGCACCGGCUAACUUCGUGCCAGCAGCCGCGGUAAUACGAAGGGUGCGAGCGUUAUUCGGAUUGAUUGGGCGUAAAGGGUGCGCAGACGGCGAGCUAAGUCAAUCGUCAAAUUUCCUGGCUCAACCGGGAGACGGCGGCAGAUACUGGUUUGCUAGAGGGUGGAAGAGAGAAGUGGAAUUCUCGGAGUAGCGGUAAAAUGCGUAGAUCUCGAGAGGAACACCGAUGGCGAAGGCAGCUUCUUGGUCCAUUCCUGACGUUCAUGCACGAAAGCGUGGGGAGCAAACAGG
RNAcentral lists this ribosomal RNA (429 nucleotides) under uncultured bacterium. Its description in RNAcentral is "bacterial SSU rRNA". It matches the Rfam family "Bacterial small subunit ribosomal RNA", at positions 355 to 776 of the family's 1533-position model. The record is from RNAcentral.